AUGAACGCUGGCGGCGUGCCUAAGACAUGCAAGUCGAGUGGGUUUAGACCCACGGCGAACGGGUGAGUAAUACCUAGGAAUGUUUCUUAAGUCGAGCAUACGCAACCGAAAGGUUGUACAAUUCUCGAUGUGGUCGUAAGACUAAAGUCGCAAGACGCUUAAGGUGCAGCCUGGGCACCAUCAGCUAGUUGGUAAGGUAAAAGCUUACCAAGGCUAUGACGGUUAGGGGCCCCGAGAGGGGAAACCCCCACACUGGGACUGCGACACGGCCCAGACUCCUACGGGAGGCAGCAGUUUGGAAUUUUGGACAAUGGGCGAAAGCCUGAUCCAGCGACGCCGCGUGGACGAUGAAGGCCUUCGGGUCGUAAAGUCCUUUUACUAGGGAACAAUUUUUGAGCGUACCUAGAGAAUAAGAGGUUGCUAACUCUGU
Molecule: ribosomal RNA, 430 nt
Filed under: uncultured bacterium
Lineage: Bacteria
Description: bacterial SSU rRNA
Rfam family: Bacterial small subunit ribosomal RNA
Source: RNAcentral